RNAcentral lists this ribosomal RNA (1227 nucleotides) under Dictyla platyoma. RNAcentral's name for it is "16S ribosomal RNA". The stretch from base 559 to 1227 matches the Rfam family "Archaeal large subunit ribosomal RNA", at positions 1423 to 2783 of the family's 2987-position model. Lineage: Eukaryota; Metazoa; Arthropoda; Insecta; Hemiptera; Tingidae. The record is from RNAcentral.
AGUAAUUAAAUAAUUAAUUUUAUUAUUUUUAUUUUAAAAUAAAAAUAUAUAGUUUUAGUAUAAUUUAUAGAAAUAAAUUAGUAUAAUUAUAGUUUUUGUACUGUGAAGGAUUUUUAUAAAUUAUUUAAAAGAAACUAUUAUUAGUGUACCUUUUGUAUCAGGGUUUAUUUAAUAUAAAUUAAUUAUUUUAAUAUUCCCGAAAUUUAAAGAUAUAUAUUUAUAUUAUUUUAUAAGUAUCAAAUUAUUUAUUAAUAUAAAUAUAGUUGUUAUAUACUUUUCAAUUUAAAUAUAUCUGGUUACUUUUAAAUUAAAUUUAAUUUAAAAUUUAUAUGAAAAAUUUAUUUUUAUUAAUCAUUUAUAUAAAUUAAAUUACUUAGGGGAUAAGCUCUAAGUAUUUUUUAUAAUUUUUAUUUUGUUAAUAACUUAUUUAGGAAUAAUAUUUUCCUUUUUUAUAUUUUUAUAAAAAUAGUUAUUUUACAAUUGAUUUAGUAUAAUUUAAAAAUUUAAAUAGUUAUUCUAAUUAAUGUUAAAUUAGAAUUAAUAAUUAUAGAAUUAGUAAUUUUAUUAUUUAAAUUUAAGAAUUCGGCAAAAUUAAUUCACGAAUGUUUAAUAAAAACAUUUCUAUUUGAAUUUAAUAUUUAGUAUAACCUGCUCAAUGAUUAUUUUAAAUAGCCGCGGUUAUUUAUCGUGCAAAGGUAGCAUAAUAAUUUGUCCUUUAAUUGAGGUCUAGAAUGAAAGGUUGAACGAUGAAUUAACUUUUUUAAUUUAAGUAUUAUAAAUUUUAUUUUUUAGUCAAAAAGCUAAAAUGUUUUUAUGGGACGAUAAGACCCUAUAGAAUUUUAUUAUUAUAUUUAUCAUAUUUAUUUAGUAGUUAUUUAUAAAUGAUAAUUUAAAUAAUUUAGUUGGGGUGACUGUUAUAUUUAAUUAACUAUAAUUAGUGAAAAUCAUUAAUUAAUGAUUUAAUGAUCCUAAAUUUUGGAUUAUAAGAAUAAAUUACCUUAGGGAUAACAGCGUAAUUUUCUUGGUAAGUUCUUAUUAAUAAGAAAGAUUGCGACCUCGAUGUUGGAUUAAAAUUAAAUUGUGGUGUAGUAGUUACAACUUUAAGUCUGUUCGACUUUUAAAAUUUUACAUGAUCUGAGUUAAGACCGGCGUGAGCCAGGUUGGUUUCUAUCUAUAAAUAGUUAUAUUAUUUUAGUACGAAAGGACCAAAUAAUACAAAUAAUUUGU